GAUAAACGCUGGCGGCGCACAUAAGACAUGCAAGUCGAACGGACUUAACCUAUAGUUUACUAUUGGAGCGGUUAGUGGCGGACUGGUGAGUAACGCGUAAGCAAUCUGCCUAUCAGAGGGGAAUAACAGUGAGAAAUCACUGCUAAUACCGCAUAAGCUGUGAGUAUCGCAUGAUACAAGCAGAAAAGGAGCAAUCCGCUGAUAGAUGGGCUUGCGUCUGAUUAGUUAGUUGGUAGGGUAACGGCUUACCAAGGCGACGAUCAGUAGCCGACCUGAGAGGGUGACCGGCCACAUUGGGACUGAGACACGGCCCAA
RNAcentral lists this ribosomal RNA (315 nucleotides) under uncultured bacterium. RNAcentral describes it as "bacterial SSU rRNA". It matches the Rfam family "Bacterial small subunit ribosomal RNA", at positions 28 to 334 of the family's 1533-position model. The record is from RNAcentral.